GGUUCGUAUAUUUUUUUCUCCAGGUAUUUCGUAUAUUUUAUGCAUUUUUAUUAUAAAAAAUUAAGUACAAUAAUUUUUUUUUUGUAGACGAAAGCAGGAAUAUUAUUACUGAAGAUCAGAGCGAGCAAUAUCUCGAAGCCAGGGUGGGAAACCCGACUUCCAGAUCAUUACACCGGAAACAUUAAAAGCAAAACUAAGUACAAUAAUGAUAAAUAAUAUUUUCAUAAAUUAUAUAGUUUCAAUACAUUAUAAAUAAGUUAGGAAUAAAUACUUAAUGAACUAAUUGUUUCUGUUUCAUACCAUUAAGUAACAAACGAACUAAAUAAUAAUUCAAUAAUAUUCAUUAAUAAUAGCCCACAAACUGAAGAAAAAAAAAAUCUUCUUUCAAAAAUAGAGCUACUGACUGAAAAACUCCUUUAUGAAAUUCAAUUCUUCCAAACCUUAAGCUAUAUACAACAAAUUUUAAUAAUAGCC
This 474-nucleotide long non-coding RNA is filed under the name Salvia miltiorrhiza (redroot sage). RNAcentral's name for it is "long non-coding RNA (SMIL_LNC008487)". Lineage: Eukaryota; Viridiplantae; Streptophyta; Magnoliopsida; Lamiales; Lamiaceae. The record is from RNAcentral.